This 445-nucleotide ribosomal RNA is filed under the name uncultured bacterium. Its description in RNAcentral is "partial 16S ribosomal RNA". It matches the Rfam family "Bacterial small subunit ribosomal RNA", at positions 28 to 507 of the family's 1533-position model. The record is from RNAcentral.
GACGAACGCUGGCGGCAGGCUUAACACAUGCAAGUCGAACGGACUGGGGGCUUCGGUGUCCGGUGCUAGUGGCGCAAGGGUGAGUGACACGUGUGAAUAUGCUCUUUAGUACGGAAUAACAACUGGAAACUUUGGCUGAUACCGUAUACGCCCUUCGGGGGCAGGAUUUAUGGGGAAAGAAUUAGGCCGCGUCUGGUUAUGUAGUUGGUGGGGUAAUGGCACAUCAAGGGGAGGAUGAGUACCUGGUCUGUGAGGAUGACCCGCCAGACUUGGGCUGAGACACAGACCAGAACCCUACGGAGGGGAGCAGUGGGGAAUAUUGUACGCUGGAGGCAACCCUGAUACAGCCAUGCCGGGUAAGUGAGGAAGGCGUUCGUGUUGUAAUGCUGUUUCGACGGGGACGAGGAUGACGGUACCCGUAUAAGAAGCCCCGGCAAACUUCGUG